Non-coding RNA from Ixodes scapularis (black-legged tick), 73 nucleotides. Lineage: Eukaryota; Metazoa; Arthropoda; Arachnida; Ixodida; Ixodidae. The record is from Rfam.
CCCUGGUUAGCUCAGUUGGUAGAGCGCUCCUCCUGUAAUGGAGACGUCCCGGGUUCGAUACCCGGACCAGGCG